Molecule: ribosomal RNA, 461 nt
Filed under: uncultured bacterium
Lineage: Bacteria
Description: partial 16S ribosomal RNA
Rfam family: Bacterial small subunit ribosomal RNA
Source: RNAcentral
CCUACGGGAGGUAGCAGUGAGGAAUAUUGGUCAAUGGGCGCGAGCCUGAACCAGCCAAGUCGCGUGUGUGAGGACGGCCCUACGGGUUGUAAACCUCUUUUGCCGGGGCGCAACGGGCGUCACGUGUGGCGCCACUGAGAGUACCCGGAGAAAAAGCAUCGGCUGACUCCGUGCCAGCAGCCGCGGUAAUACGGUGGGGGCAAGCGUUAUCCGGAAUUACUGGGUGUCAAGGGCGCGUAGACGGUAAUGCAAGUCGGGAGUGAAAGGCGGGGGCUCAACCCCCGGACUGCUCUGGAAACUGGGUAACUGGAGUGCAGGAGUGGCAGGCGGAAUUCCUAGUGUAGCGGUGAAAUGCGUAGAUAUUAGGAGGAACACCAGUGGCGAAGGCGGCCUGCUGGACUGUAACUGACGUUGAGGCUCGAAAGCGUGGGGAGCAAACAGGAUUAGAUACCCUUGUAGUC